RNAcentral lists this long non-coding RNA (15838 nucleotides) under Solanum tuberosum (potato). Its description in RNAcentral is "long non-coding RNA (STUB_LNC006034)". The stretch from base 3325 to 3376 matches the Rfam family "MIR1886 microRNA precursor family". The record is from RNAcentral. Lineage: Eukaryota; Viridiplantae; Streptophyta; Magnoliopsida; Solanales; Solanaceae.
UUGAGCAAAACUCGAUCCAUUAUGAGCUAGUUUUUGGUAUUGGAAUUAGGUCCAAAAUCUAUUUAACAAUGUACAAAGAAAAAACGACAAAAAAGAAACCAUAACUAAAAAAAUUCUCCCCAAAUAGAAAUUAAACCUAUCACUAAUCAGCUAACUACCAACAACUCUAAGCUACUCAGGACAAGCAACUUAAUGUUGGAAGUUGAAUCUCGUUCUGUGGACCAAACAAACAUAACCUAUUUUCCUCGAAAAAUAUUUUUCUUCAUACCUCACACACCCUUAAUAUUAUAAUAAUCUAUUUAUCUCACUUUUAGUCCAAUUAAUCAAAUAACUAUAUAAAAAUACACCCAUUUCCUAAAUAUACAUAAUAACAACCAUAUAUCCAGUUUAAUUUCAUAAGUGAGGUCUGAGAGGAGCUGGGUUGUGUAUCCUUACACAUUACCCCUACCUUGCAAGGUUGACAGUCUGUUUCCAUUGACGGAACAAGAAUUUUCACAAUAAUUUUUAAAAAAGGUAAACACACACCAAAAAAAAAACUAAGAGAAUUCAACCUGUACUAUAAUUGUGUGUAAUAUUUCAUGGAAGCCUCGACCCAAAAAGAAAAAGAGAAAACAGAAGGAAUUGGAAUGAGAAGAGUAUAAAAGCAUCACUAACUGAAAUAACGGAACCCCACAAGGAUGAGUUUUGAGAGUUAUGAAAAAAGAAAUGGCCGCGCAAUGUCAAUGGCAACCCACUAGUAUUUCAACAACAUUGAAGAAAGAUGGUACAUGCAAACAACUUUCAAUUAACAGAGGCAGAAUAACUUUUUGUAAUUGGAGAUCAAAGUACCUGUUCCCUUCUCCAAUGACUGAACAAUGUUGCACCAGCACAACUACUUCUUUUCCAGUUUCAUCAGCGUCUGCGAGGAAGAUCAAGUCACAAAGAGGAGAUCAUCAAUAUGAAUUAGUGAAUGAGAAUGGAUGGAAAGUCACAAGAAUGAAUGAGACUACUGAACAAGAGAUGAUGAGGGAAGUUGCUGUCGUUCGAGCUAAAGCCUUCUCUCAACCUAUUCCCUUCUCCAAGUACUUACUCUUUCAGGUUCUUGAUUUUUCAUCUUCCCCAUUCUUUAUUUUCUUUUUUCUCUCUGUUUCUAGCAUCAUUUUAGGAAAAACAGAAUGAUGAUCAUAUAUUGUUCUCUGUUAUGUAGGAUGAACAACUUUCAAGACUUGUAUACAAACUGAAGAAUUAUAAACCAGACAGGUAAAAAUCAUUUAUUUUCUCUUCUGUUAUACAGUUCUCUCCUUCUUGUUGAAAAAAUCUAAACUAUGCUUCAGUCACAAACAAGAAAAUCUAACUGCAUUAUGAACAAUAUCUAAUUUAGAUAUGAUGGUCUCCAUCAUUUCUAAUCAAGCUCAUAUCAUUAUUAUCAGUUUCUGAAAUAAUUGACUAAACAGGUAUGCAUGUUUAGUUGCGGAGGCCUCAACUGACACCCCUGAGGUAAAACAACAAGUUGUAGGAGUGGUUGAUGCUACAGUAUAUAGCGAUGAUGAUGUUCUUCAGUACCUUCCGGGAGGAACAGAAUAUAUCUAUAUUUCUGGGAUUGCUGUAUUGAACAAAUUCAGGUUCACGAUUCAAUCGGAUAUUAAUUCCUAUGUUAAAUGAAUGUAGAGAUGAGUUAUGUGUGCCUUUUAUGCUAACACAGACCUAAAAUUGCAGGAGGCAGAAAGUUGCAACUGCGUUGCUCAAGGCUUGUGAUGUUCUUGCAAGAUUUUGGGGGUUUGAAUAUCUAGUCCUAAGGGUUAAUGAGGAUGAUUUUGGUGCUCAACGUUUGUAUACAAAUGCGGGUUAUAAAGUAGUUUCAGGUGAUGCUACAUGCAUGACAAAGUGGAUUGGUCGAAGAAGAAGAGUACUUAUGAUUAAACAGGUCUCACAUGGAUCAGCCUGAAACCAAAAUUCCAAUUCAAAUCAGUGUUUGAUCUUCAGGAAAGAGUCUUUCCUUGUGACUAUUUUGCUUUUUUAAAUUCACUUACAUAUAUAGCUGACUGCUUUGUUGUUCUAGCCUCAUUAUAUCAAGUACCUUAACCAGAUAUAGUUGUCUUUUAUAGAAGGCGUUUGGCGAUAGAUUUCAUGUAGAAGAGAAUAAUAUUGUUCAUGUUUGAAUGUACUUUACAUACAACUUCAAAAGUGAAAAGUAGUUGAAAAACAAGUUUACCAAAUUCUCGUGGACUGGCCAUACGACUCUGAGGUUUGACUUUCCAAAUGACUUGUUUAAAACAACAAGAUUAGGACAUUUUGGUACCUCCUAACUGAUAGAUGAAAAUGGUGAAGAAUGAACUGAGACUAUUACAGCACAAGAAAGCUCUUCACGAAUUCGAUCCACCUGUUGUUGUGACAUUUCCACUCCUUUCUUUUCUCCUUUUCGAGGGGCAUUUGGCCCCGUUUCUGCUAGAUGGUGCUUGUUACAUGUUGAGAUUAAACUUAGUCUUAAUGGUACACUAAACAUUAGGCAGAAGUGUAUAGUUUUGAGUAAGGAAUGCAAAUAGGUCCAAAUCAAACAAAAAGGAGAUUGAAAAUUCAUAGUAUGGACUAACAAGUUUGGAUUGAAGUGUCAAUAUUGAAUAGGCCUAAUGAUGGACAAAGGCAGGGCAAACAAACCAAGUCCAGGCUCACUAUCACCCUCUCCUGUGCAGUAACACUAGCCUCACCUGUUUGACUUCCUUCCAAUGCUAUAUUUCUAGUUUCCCAAGUGUUUCUCCACACAGCCAUUGUCUGACAACUCCCUAAACAGGACCAUCUACCAGUCCUUCCAAAUACAUAACAACAAGAUUUACCAAACAGACACAGAUAGAGACAAAGAAACAACUUUUUUGAGCCAAGAUUAGAUUUUGAUGAGGACAAAAGUAAAUACUCCCUGUGUUAAGUGUUUUGUGGUGUUCCUUGUAUGGCUAGUUGAGAAUUUGUGUUAAAUAACUCUCAUUCAAAAUGACAAGUCUAUUAUAUUCCGGAUACGUCUAUAACACCUGUGAAAGCAAUUUCCCUUUCACAAAAUCGAAUAAUUAGGCUGAUAGUUAACAGUCGCCUUGGGAAUUAUAGUGGACUUUGUGAGGUCAAUAUUUAUGGAUUCUAUUAUGGAUAAAUACUCUUUCGUCUUUUUUGUUGAAAUCAACAUUUAAAAUUUACGAGUAUUUACAAUAUUUUUAAAUUAAUAUACAAUAAUAACUCCAUAGAAUUUGUUCGACUACAUAGAAAAUCUUACAAAACUUAUUUGGUUACACUUGUAGGUUUACUUACGUCUAUUCUUAGUAGGUGUUUGGCCAUGCGAUACCAUAUCACGAUAUGGUAUCGUGAGAUGGAAUCAGCGUUUAGAUAUGCGAUUUUACGCUGAUUCCAUCUCAUGAUUCCAUAUUCUCCAAAAACCAUGAUAUGGAAUUAUCUGGGAAUUCCAUAUCAUAUAUAAUUCCAUAUCAUGAUUUGAGAUAUUUUAAUACAAAAUUAAUUCACAAGUUUAUAUUUUGUUAAAACAACUCCACAUUUAUAUCUAUUAACCAUUUAUUUCAUAUGUAAAUAAAAUUUAUAAUCACAUCAUUACUUUUAAAAUUUAUUAUUCUCACCAACAUAUAAUCACUUUAACACACACCAACCGAUUGUUGAGUAAUAAAUUUGUUCUGUUCAUUUACUCCAACACUUAAUUAUUACUUCUACCGUUUUGUAUUUAUUACAACUAUAGUUAUACCUAUCAACAUUGUUUAAAGAGAUAAUAUUUAUUUUAUGACUUUGCAUUGUCUUGAAAGCACUAUUUUUAUUACUCUUACAAACAUUAUUUUAUGAAAUGCAUUCUAUAAUGCUUCCAAUUUAUUUUAUGUUCACUAAACUAAUAUUGAUGUAUUUUUUAUUUGGUAGGAUUGUGUUGGUGCAAUUGAUGGAACAUAUAUAGAAAAGAGGCUCCUAAAGCGGUGCAACAAUUAUAUCGUAAUCGCAAAAGAAGAACAUCACAAAAUGUCUUAUGUGCUUAUAAUUUUGAUAUGCAAUUUACCUUUGUUGUUGUUGGUUGGAAAGAUACUACACAUGAUAGUAAAGUACUUGAGAAUGCACUUGUUGAACCAACGUUACAAUUUCCAUUUUCGCCACAUGGUAACUUUAAAUUACAUCCUUAGAAUAAAUAUUAUUUAUUUACACAAAACUGUCUCAUUUACGUCACAUAUGCUUUUAGUAAUUCUUUAUAAAAUGUUUGUUGGUAGAUAAAUAUUAUGUUGUUGAUGUUGGUUUCUGAAACGCAAAAUGACUUUUAGCUCCAUACAAAAGACUACGCUAUCAUUUGCAAGAUUACCGAGGAAGUGAAAGAAAGCCUCAAAAUGCCAAAGAACUAUUUAAUUAAAGGCAUUCAUCUCUGCGCAAUGUGAUUGAACGAACUUUUGGAGCUUGGAAAACUAGAUUUAGAAUACUGAAACAAGGCAUGAACCGUUAUGAUAUUGAUACACAAGUGAAAAUUGUCAUAGCUUGUGUAGUGUUACGUAAUUAUUUGCGAGAAUACCAAAGUACUAAUGAAAUAUUUAUAGUUUAUGAGCAUGGAAAUAUAGUUGCAGAUGAUAUUGACCAACAAAUGGCUCAAAGUAACAAUGUUGGUUCGUCUUCUCGGUCACAUGAUCGAAAAAAUGCAAGUUCAACGUGAGGAAAUUGUAUAUACUAUGUGGGAGGAUUAUAUUAAAGACUAGUACACUACAAUUUAUGUUUAAUUUUUUAUUAAAUUAAAGUUAGAUGAAACAAUUACUUAAGUGGAGAACAAAUAACUUUGUAAUAAUUUAUUAUGCGAUUUUAUAAAUUUUUGUUUAUUUGAUAAGAUUGAAUAAACAAUUGAGGCUAUUUUAAUAGUUUUACAACUUAUGAGAUUUUUAUGUUUAUGAAAAAACAUACAACACAAAAAUUCCAUAUGACAUGUCCAAACAAAACUUCAAUUUCAUCUCAAGAUAUCAUAUCAUGAUUCCAUAUCGCAUGGCCAAACGGGGCCUUAAUCAAUGGUCUUGAAUUUUGAGUCCUAACAAUUAAAAACAUCUUUUGUGAGAAAUAUUUAUCUCCAAAAUAGACUUUUCGACAUAAUUUGAUUUAAAACACAAAGUUUAUCAUAAACUAUUUAUAUAUAUUAAGCAAACUUUUAAUUACAAUAUAAAGUUGAAACCAAAAAGAAAAGCAUUUAUUGAUUUUUAUCUUAUGAGGUUAAUUAUCAUUGGUUGAUUUUGUUGAGCCAAGAAGCAAAGAAAAAUAACCCCUUCCUCACAUAAAGUCGGGGAUAAGACUGACAUACCCUACCCUUCCUUUAUAUUUUCAUGUGUAGAACUAUACAAAUAUGUUAUUAUUGUUGUUUGUAAAUUAUGGACUUAUCGUUGACACAUAAUUUGAGUGCCAAAUUUUGUAAACCAGCACCAACGUAACACCAUCUCGAGGAAUCAUGGACUUGUAAUUUUCCACAAGCACCUUCUCAUCAUACUCUUUCAACUAAGGAACUUUUUAAAUAUAAAUACAUAAUCCGUACCAAACUUAUUUGAAAUUUUACAAAAUCAGACACCAUAUGAAAAAAAUAUAUAUAUUUAUUGAUUUGUGGAUAGUUGUUACCCCAUUCUUUUCUUUUCUUGUUAGGACCUUGGGUAAUCUUUUUAGUGUAUACCCCACUCCACUAUUGUUGCUCAAACUCCAUUGUUUGUCAAUUACCGUUGGCACAGAAUUGGAGUGCCAAAUUUUACAGCACCAGCAGUAACACCAACACCAUCGCGAGCAACUAACUGUCCCUGCGCAAUAAUCAUGGACUUGUAAAUCUCGACGAGCAUCUUCUCAUCAUACUCUUUCAAUUGCCUCGUUCCGAAUCCACCACCAAUCCCACUACUCAUACAUCUCGAAUUAGCAAUCUUCAUCAUCAUAUUCACAUACGCAUCCCGCAUAUUCAAUAACAAUUUCUUCGGCGAAAAUCGCCGGAGCUUCAGAUUCAGCCUCGGCUUUAGAUUUAUCUUCCAGAACCUUCCUCUCCCCAACCCAACCCGAUUCUUCCUCCUCCAACCCGACCCGUUUAGCCUCUCAUACCCUCCUCUUCUCCUCCUCUUCCAGUAACAUUUUAAUCCACUGUACAAGCUUGGUGUUGAUACUGAUAGUCCUCCUUCCAUUUUUUUUAGUUUUGGAAAAUUAAAAAGAUAAUAUGGAAUUGAGCAGAAAAACAAGGCAAUGAAAUUUGGUUUUUAUAAAAAAAAUAGGAGAGGGAGUUGGAAGAUAAUGAGAAGAAUAUUUAAUGGGGGCGCAGGUUUAUGGUUAAUUCGUUACCUGUAUUUUUCACGGGACAUUAAUGGAUUGUGUAAGUACUGUGUAAAAAGACGGUGAUCCUAAUUUUAUUUCUCCAGAUUUGAAGCUAAAUUAAAUUAAUAUCUCCCACGCCCCUAUUGUAUACAUUUAUUAAGAAAUUAUUAAUAGUAGAGUAAUUUUAUUUUAUAUUUUAAAUAUAAUAUUUUGAAAAAUAUAAUAUGGAAACGAUUAUAACUAAUGAAAAUGAUAAACUAGAAAUUAAAAAUUAUCUAUUAUUUUUAUAAAGUGGACCAUUAUUGUUAGACAUCCCAAAAUAAUAUAGUGGACAACUAUUGUUGGACGAAGAAAGUAUCAAUUAUUUAUUUCGUACUUGUCCACUAUACUAUUUUGGGAUAUUUAACAAUAUUUGUUUAGUUUAUACAAUUGAUGAAUAAUUUAUUAUGGAAGUGCUAUAGGACCAGAAAAUUUGGCUAGAAUUUGGCCAGAAAAUUAAAAAAAACUAUAAUAUUUUUUUUAUUUUAAAACAAACCGAUCUUUUUUCCAUUUUUUAGUUAAAAGGUAUUAAAGUUAAAAGGAUAAAAAUGUUUAAAAAGGUAAAAUAUCAUUCUGGCCAAAAAAAAAAUUCCAUUUAUUAUUUUGUAUCUAUUUUACCCUUACUAUUAAAUAUUAUUCAUUUUUCAAUGUUUAGAUAACUUAUAUUUAAUAGAGGUGAAUUGAUAAAAGUACUCAUAUCAUUUACUAAUUUUUAAUUCAUAUGUCAAGUCAAUCGUAAACAAUUAUUAUUGAAUCGAGGAAAUAUUAAAAUAUAAGUCAAAAUUCAAAGUAACUUCACUCUCCAAAAGUAAAAAUAUACUAACAAGUUAAAGUCAGAUAUUUCAAAAUAAUGAGCAUAUUCAAUUGAUCAUAAAUUCUACCUCUAUGGAGUCGUUUGGUUUGAAUUCAAGUUAUGAUAGGAUAAGUUAUGCUAAAAUUAUUUUUUAUUGAAUGUUUGGUUUAUUGUAUUCAAAAUAAUAAAUCUUAAAAACACCAUAUAAGUUUACAAAAAUACCCUUCAUGGAUGUGAAAAGUAAUGUAUAAAAAGUGUUCAAAGGGACAUUUUUGUCAUUUAGUCAUUUUAUUCCGGGAUAAGUUAUCCUAGGAUUACUAUACCACCCAUAGGAAGGGAUAACUUAUCCCAGUACUAAUUAUUAAUCUCGAGAUAAGUUAUCCCGAACUUGCCAACCAAACAACAAAUUAAGUUGCACUAUAAUUUAUUCCCAGGACUAUUUUAAGUUAUCCUUCACACCAAACAACCCCAUAAUGGACAACAUAAAUUAUUUCAAGUUAAAGUCAUUUUUUAAAUAUUUUAAUAACAAAAAUUUUAAAUUUUAAAAUCAAACACUUGGAAGGACAUAGGUAUAAUUUCCUGAUAUAUCUCCCUAUUUUAUGCAACCACCAACUAAUAGAGCAUUUAAUAUUCUUCAAGUUUGUCAUCAUCAUCGUAUUAUAAAACUAUAUCCUAAGCACAAAAUCCGCUUCCUCUUUUAUGAUUCUUCUUUUGUCUUAUCCCUACGUACGUCCACACAUUUGCGCACCGCAUAAAUAAUAUUAGAUCAUAUGAGAAAUAAUUCAAUUUCACAAAUAAAUUUAAUCAUUUCCCAUUAGUAAAUGCACUUUCAUAUUUUUUUUCUUUAAUUUUUUCCUUUUAAGAUUAGUUUAUUUAGGUUGUGCCUCUAACCCAUAUAUAUUUCCUACUAAUUUUGUUUCUCAAUGUAUAUUCAAUACUCCAUUUCAAAUUUUCAAGGAUUUUUUUCAUUGUUCAAAAUAAUUGAUUUGUUCAAAGUUUAAAAUGGAUGUUUGAAACUUUUUUCAUAAUGCCUUUUUCUUUAGUGAAGUUUUAUAUUUUCUAGGAAAUAAAUUACAUAAUUUACAAAGUUAUAUUUAUGGUUUUAUAAAAGACAACAGUGAAAAAUAAAUUUAAAUUAUGUCCUAAAAUAUUUUUCUUAAUAGGUAUACGCUACCUCACAAAUUUACUUAAUAUGGAAUAAAGGGAAUAAUUACUAAACCGACUUCUAUGGCUUAAACAAACAAAAAGGAAUGAAUAUUUGAUUGAAGAUAAGUACUCCUUCCAUUCCUAUUUACUGGUCAAAUAUUUUCCUAAUUUGAUUUUUCUGUUCACUUGUCACUUUUUGACAAAUCAAGGGAUAACAAAUUUUUUUCAUCCUAUUAUACUCUCAAUUAUUAACAUUGAUUAAUGUCUAUGAAAAAUAUAGUGUAAUUAUAUUUAAGACUAUAAAUUUAUAAAAAUAAAGUUAUAAACUCACUAUAUCAAUCAUUAUUAUUUUUAAUAGGUGUUUCAAAUCAAAAUUUAAUAAAUAAAAAGGGAUGUUUAAGAAAUAAUUAAUACAAUCAUCACCUGUAAUCAAUGAUGUCAAAGUUUGAAAUAAUUAAUACACUAGCUUCAAUCAUUAAAAACUAAAUUGUUUUCAGGAAGCGCAUGAAUUUGGCCACUAUCCCAUGCAUUUGUAUUUAAUUAGUUCCAUUAUUCAAGCAUGGCACUACUAAGUGGUGAAUUUACAUUUUUCACUAAAAGGGUUUUAAAAUAGAAAUAUAUUUCUUCCGUCUCAUAUUAUUUGAUCAUCUUAUUAAAAAUAGUUAUUUCGUAUUAUUUGUUUGAUUUACUAAAUCAAGAAAGCAUUAAUUAAAUGUUUCCUAUAUUACCCUUGCAAUUAAUUCCUUUUUAAAGUGUUCACAUGUGUUUGUAAAAUUCUUAAGAAACUUUUUAAGAGGUGAAUUAGUAAAAUCAUCUUCUUAUUUAUGAUUUCUUAAUAUGCAUGUAAAAAAGGAAAAUGAUCAAGUAAUAUAAAACGAAAGGAAUAGUGUUUAUUAGAUGAAACCUCAACAUGAAUUUUGAAUCUCCUCAACCACUAAGCAAUAUCUAAUCUUAUGUUUAGGAAACUCAAAAUCUAUACAUAUAUAGUUAUAUAUAUAUAUAUAUAUAUACACACACAAAACCUUAAAAAAUAUCUUAUAUAUAUCGUGUAAGGUUUGCUUGAGGAAUUCGAGUGAACCUCUCACUAUCCCCUAAAGCCACCCAUGUUUCCACUAGAGAAAUAGGAUCAAUGAAAAGUCACAUAAUCAAUCUCAAUUUAUUUGAGACUAAAGCAAAGUAGUUGUUAUUUUAUAGAAAGAGUAACCUUAAAUUAGUAGGGUGUAUUUAUUGAGAUUUCAAUUUUCUUCCAAAUAAUUAGAACCAUUUUAUUAAGCUUUCUUCCUUCUUUCCAAAAAAUAAUGCACAAUUAUAAGAUCUCCUUCCACUUGGCUGUUUUGUUGGACAUUUACAAGCUUUUAUUGUGAUAUUUGGAAGCAAGAUAAAAAUAUUGGUUGAGUUCAAUAUCACAAAGUUGGUCAAGGUUCACUUGAUGACUAAAUAAGAAAUUAAGCAGUAUACAAGUUAAUACUCUUUUUUUCUUUUUACCAUCGCAUAAGAUAGGGAUCUCAAAAUUAGUUCAUGAGGCGAGAUUGUCAAACAACAUAUACAGAGAGAUCAAAAGUCUAUAUAACAUUAUAGCCAUUCAUUGUUUGGAUCCAUUGACUCAAGUUAAUCUAGAUUCACGGUCACGUCACGUAGAACCUUGGAAAGAGAAAGUGCUCCCUUAUAAGAAAUUUAUGCAUUCACAAAGCUCGAACCUAGAAUCUCGUUUAACCAUAUUCAUCCCACUAUAACCCUUAGUGGCGGUAACCAUAAGUAUCACUCUAAUAGGUAUAAGGUUCAACAACAACAUACCCAAUGUAGUCCUACAAGUGAGAUCGAAAGAGAGUAAACUCUACACAUACCUUAUUCCUACAUUGAGAGGUAGAAAGGUUGUUUCCGAUAGACUUUUGGCUCAAGGGAAAACAGUCAAAAUAGGUCGAUAAAAGAAAUAACGGACGUAAAGAAACUAUAGCAAAAUACUAUAAAGCUCUUAAGGAAAUUUUUGAAAAUAAUAAGCUCCCAAUACUUGAGACAAGAGAAGACAGAAGUUGCUGACCUCAGUUUCUUGGGUGUCAGAGCCUUUGUUUUCUUCAGCCUCUCUGGUGUUUUUACUGGGCUCAAUCUCUUCAUCUUGCCAUCAGUUUUACCUGCAGCUGAAGUAGCAAAAUCAAUCUAUUUAUUCAGUAGUCCAUCCAAAUAUAGACGAGUUGAGUUAUGACUCAUUUGUUGGCUUGAUUGACCCAAUAGAUUGAACGUGAAAUGACUUAUCAAACUAUUGAGUCAAAUACUGUAACUUGGUGAGUUAACAUGUAACAAAAGACCCAAAUAUGAAAAAUCAAAUUUAGAGAUUGAAAAUUACUUGCAUUGGAAGACUUAAGUUAAUACUAUCAAACCUCUCUAUAAGAUAACAUAACAAGUUGGACAGAUCUGCUAUUUGACCCAUCUCGACCAAUUGAUUUUGACUCAAACAUUAUCAGGACGGCUGAAUUAUGACAUGUAUAUUAGUCUUACUAGUUUUUACCAGCCCAAAUUUGAUCCAACUCUUACAUUUGUUACAUUUUACCUGGAGUAGUUGAUACAUGCUUCUUCAAUGCUUCUGGGGUCUUUACUUGGCUAAGCCUCUCCAUCUUAUCCUUGUGGGGAUUAGCUGAAAUCUUAUAGAAAUUGUUGAUUUUGAAUAGCUUCUCCGACUCUACGAAUUUCUUUAACUGAACAGAGAGGAGUUUCUUGAAAUUCCUUGUACUUAGCUUCCAUGAACUUUGCUAUUGCUGGUUGGCUCGUACCAUUUCGAUCCUUCAGUGAUGUUAUUGCCUCUGUGAUCAUCUACAGAAACACAAAACAUUAGCAGAAACUAAAGGAAAGUUCAUAAUUUUAAGCUAAUGUUUGACCCUGAAAUUUGAUCAGAUUUUGACAAUAUGAUCUUUAAAUAUUUCGAAGUUCCCCUCAAAAAACUUCAUGUUUUUUCCAAGUAAACACAACUUCAAAACUCAAAUUUUCAAGUUUCAACUUCAAAGUUUAUGAUCAAAUGGGAGCUUGUUAGGUGCAUGCAAAGGUGAAUUCAGAAUUUAAAUUUGAUCAAUUUUGUCUUCAUUGUUCUUACCACUGAACCAAUUACAUUUGAAAUUAUGAGUUCAUAAUCUAAUAUCUAACAAAAAUAGACUGUGAAGCUCUACAAAUUUCAGAUUUGGGGGAGAAGGGAAAGAACAAAUUAAAGUACCUGAAAAUAAGGUGGAUUGAAAUCCAUAAAUGAAUUCGAAGCUCGAAUUUCUAUAGCACAAUGAAUGCCCGGAAUUUAAAUUUGAUUGAUCCAAUCUCUAUGUUCUUACCACCGAACCGAUUACAAUUUUGGAAAUUAAUUACGGUUUCAUAAUAUAUUAUCUACCGCAAUAUCUGGAUCAAUUAAAUUCACAGUUAUUAUAGUCUACAUCGCCCACCUGGUAUAUGUGCAUUUACCGGUUAUAUAUCGAAUCUAUCUAACAAAAAAUGAAGUAUGAAGCUCUAAAAAAUUUAAACUGUACCUGUAAAUAUGGUGGAUGGACGUUUAGAUAUGAAUUCGAAACUCGAAUUUCUAAGGCAUGAUGAAUACAUCAUACAAAGGCGAUCCGAAAUUCGAAUAUGAUUCGUCCAAAUUCCAUGUCAUAAACACCAAACCGAUUACACUUGUGAAAUUAAUUAUAGGUUCAUAAUCUAUUAUGAAUUGUCUAACGCAAAAUUUGGAUCAAUUAAACCCAGUUAUCAUAGUCCACAUCACUGACGGUGUAUACAAGCAUUUACUAUCGAAUCUAACAAAAAUGAAAGUGUGAAGCUCUAUAAAUUAAGAAUGUACCUGAAAAUAAGGUGGAUGAACAUUUGGAGAUGAAUUUGAAGCCUUCAUUGCGGUUGCCAUGGAUUUUGUUCUCUAUUUUCUCUGAGAUGAAACUUGAAGCCUUCAUUGUGUUUCAUUCUUUGGGAUGAAAUUUUGAAUUUAAAUUCAAAUUUCAUUUUGGCGGAUUGAAAGUGGAGGGAAUUGGGUAUGGGCUUGGACUCUAUUCAUCUUAUCAUGGGCUGAAAAUUGUCUUCCAACUCAAUUGGGCUCUAUGUUCAUUUGAAGGCCCAUUAACUUGGACUCCCUACGUUUCAAUUUGCUUGAUCUUCACUUGACAAAAUACAUCGAAUUAAAGAUAUGUCAAAUAUACAUGUUCUUUAUUCUUGUGGUCUUGCAUAUGCAAUGUGGAAAUUUGGAAUUAAAAAAUUGCUUUAAAAAAAAAUAAAAGAGGAUAGAUACAUUUUUAUACAGAAUAAAAAAGAAAGUACGACAAAUAAAUCAAAUCAGAGGAAGUAUUUAGCGAGAACAUUUAAUUUGACAAAGUAUUAUUCGGAAAAUUUGCUUCAAAUACCAUUUAUGGAUGUGGUGAUUUUGUGGGACAAAUGAGAUCUCUAAUCAAAUAUUUCAAAUUCGAAUUUUAAAAAUUAUAAUUUUUUUAUAGCAAAACUUUUUCCCCUUGCGUAGUUAAAUUCUGAUUAAUCUGAUCACUGAUCAGUAUAUUACGAAUAUCAUAUGAUUAAAGAACUAUAGUCCCUUGAUUUAGGUGAAUGGCGUUGAAAUUUUAUUUUUUUUCACAAGAUUCUCGAAACUGAGUAUCUCUCUUAUGUUUCCAAGGUAAUACCUUAACCACAUUUUGUGAAGAGUUCAAUAUAUUAUAUUAUCUAUCAUAUUAGGAGUAUAUAAUAUUAUUUCACCCGUCUCAAAAUAUUUAUCAUAUUUUAUUAUGUAUCAUAACCAACAUAUUAAGAUUUAAGAGUUUUUAUGUAUAAUUUUUAAAUAUUAAAUUAAUUUAACUUCAAAAAAAUAGUUAAUUAAAUUUUGAAAAACGAAAUGUGAUAAGUAUUUUAGGACGAUGUAAGCAGGGGCGGAGCCAGCCUUCUGUUAGGGGUUCAUCCGAAGCCCCUUCGACGGAAAUUUUUACUAUUUGUAUAUAGUUAAAAUUAUUUUUUAUGUAUAUAUAAUAGAUGUCAAACCCCCUUCGGUUAGUUCGUAUGUUUAGUUCUACCCUCUUAUUAAAAAUUCUGACUCCGCAACUGAAUAUAAGCGAUAAGUGUUAAAAGGAAGUAUUGUCAUUGUCGGUGAGGUUGUCAAGACAAAGACCACGUCAUUGGUGCAUUAUUUUUACAUCUUUCCAAUUCUCACUAGCUACCAUCCAAAUACCUAUUCUUUCUAAUCUUUUUAUUUUUACCUCCCCAACUAUUUUUUAUUUUCUCGAUUACUUAAAUUUAUAAUCUCAGAAUUGAAGGUGAAAGGUAAGUAUAGUUCAAAUGCAUUAGUGAUCUAAAGAUAAGAUUAAAUAGAUGCCUUAAAUUAGGGUGUGCAUCAAUCACUUCGAUUUAUGUAUUAUCGAUUAGAUUAAUUGAUAUUUAGUUUUUAAAUAUUCGGUUUUCGGUUUACCUAAUAAGAAAAUACUUAUAAAAUAAAUGUAUAACUUCUUCAAUAAUUUGAUGCAACAAAACAAUAAUGUAACUUUACAGAAUGACAUAAAAUAGAAACAAUAAUAACUAAUUAAUAUGAAAUGAACUAUACAAGUGCAAUACAAAGGGAAAUGAUGUGAUGUAUAAUAAUGAAGCUCAUACCAAACUAGGUGGAAGGAAGGGUUUAACGGAUCGAACCUUAUCAAUAAGGUGAAAAUUCGCAUAGUUAUCAGUAAAUUAUUUAAAAAAAUCAGAAAAUACAUUUAUUAUUUUUACGAACAAAUGAUAAUGUUUUCAUUUAUUUUUUAGGAAAAAGUUUACUUUUUAAAUUUAUAAUCAAAUAGAAGCUCAAUCUACCGCUAACUAAAUUUCCAUGGAAUUUCAUUAUAGCAAUCAAAAAAAUAUUUAGAUAGUGACAAAAAGAUAUAUGAAAUAUAAAUUUCAGUGCUAGCAGCCCAGACAAAGUGCCAACCUUGCACUGUAUUAAAAAUUGUACAGUAAUGUGCGUAUUGUUAUUUUUGGUCAUUAAAAUAAACAAUUGAAAAAAGGUGCGGUCAUCAAUACACAUGCAAUCUCCCAUGGUAUCGCUCAGUUGAAUUUUCACUAAAGAAAAUUUAAAAUAUGAAGAAUUAAACGCUCAAUAAAGUCAAUAAAUUUAUUAGCAUGAAUAUACUUUUUAAGCAAAAUUUAUUGAAUUCGAUCAAAUUAACAUGCAGAUUACUAGCUCGGCUUCUACAGAUCAGUCUUUUUUAUUAGUAAAAACACUUCCCAACAUAUAUAUUUAUGGUUUUUUCUGCACACUUUCUCACAUGAGAGUAUAUUGAUAUUGUAUCAUUUACUAUCCGACCUUGAAACAAAUUUAUUUCCACUUAAACGAUUAAACAAAUAUACUUAUAUUUCCUUAAUUAUAUCUUCCAACAUAAUUUCUCAAAAAAAAAUUGAAUUUUAGUUUUGAAUGGAAAGUUUUCUUCAGACUUACGUUAAAUAGUCAGACGUCAAUGAGAGUAUAUCAAAUACUAAAAAAACAAAAAAAAAAGUUAUAUACAUGACUAUUCAAGUUAGAAUUCUCUUCUAAUUUGUGUGUAACUGUGUACACACUUGCUACAUUUUAAAUCAUAAAUUUGUUUCUACUCACUCAUUCACCAAACUCUUGCAUAUUGUAUAGUGACAUAAUAUAAGCUACUCUUCUCCUUCUGCUUUCUUUUCAUAAUAUAUCCCCAAAUUUUUUUGCCCAUCUUUGAGUAAAACAAAUCAACAAAGUUGAUAAUUUUCUUGAAAAAAAUAAAAUGGGGACUCCCUCACCCCCACAUUCUCAAUUCAUUUUCCAUAUUUUUACUCUCCUUUUCUUGAUUUCACUCGACCACUAUUAUUCUCAAGCUAUGGCCAAAGACCAACUUUCUUGCACAAUGUGCUCUUCUUGUGACAACCCUUGUCAGCCAAUUUCACCCCCACCCUCACCCUCUUCAUCUGGCUAUAUUUGCCCACCCCCGCCACCAGUUUAUGUGUCACCCCCGAACAAUGGUGGUGGCGGAAACUAUCCGCCACCGAAUAAUAACCCUUAUGGGUACCCAACUCCACCACCCCCAAAUCCAAUUGUACCAUAUUUUCCUUUCUAUUUUCACAGCCCACCACCACCUACCUCCAAAUCCAUUCAACUAAAAAAACACCCUUGUCUCAUUUUUGGUGUUGCAAUUUUCUUCUUGCUUUAAUUUUGAACCCUCUAAACAAGACUAGUAUUUUAUAUGAAAUUGAAGUUUAUAUUUUUCAGGUUUUGUACAAUGUGCAGAUAUCAAGAAAGAAAGGCAUAAGAGAUCGAGUAGAUGAACAACAAGUAGUGGAGUAGUAAUAAUUUUGGGGGGUCCCAAUUAUUUCCAUAAAAAAAGAAUGGAUCUUGAUUGAUGAAAAAGCUAGCUGUUAUUAUUACUACUACUUUGUUUUCAACUUUUGGUGCUGUAAAAAUAACGUGGCUGUGAGAAUUAGCACAUUCUCAUUGUUGUACACAUGUACUUCUACAAUGAAUUAAGGAUGGAGUCAUAACUUCGAUUAAUUUCAAAAAUAUUGUAUUUGUGCACUGUUAUUUCUUUGAGAUACUAACUUCUCUAGAAUUCAAGUUUGUGUAAAUAUUUUUUAAGAUUUUCCACUACAUUAAUUUAACGGUUUAUAACAUGUUAAGAAUGCCAU